This 1478-nucleotide long non-coding RNA is filed under the name Lepisosteus oculatus (spotted gar). Its description in RNAcentral is "lncRNA (ENSLOCG00000022536.1)". Lineage: Eukaryota; Metazoa; Chordata; Actinopteri; Semionotiformes; Lepisosteidae. The record is from RNAcentral.
AUGUGAAGUUACAGAGGAGCUGGACUGAGUGUCUCUCCAGUAUCUCCUGCUCUGAUGGGGAGGGGUGUUCAUGUGAAGUUACAGAGGAGCUGGACUGAGUGUCUCUCCAGUAUCUCCAGCUCUGAUGGGGGGGGGUGUUCAUGUGAAGUUACAGAGGAGCUGGACUGAGUGUCUCUCCAGUAUCUCCAGCUCUGAUGGGGAGGAGUGUUCAUGUGAAACACUGAUAGAUCAUUCUGGAUGGAUUCCUUAUCAGCGUGUCUGUAUUAACCCAACUUCUCUUGUCUGUUUCCCUCUGAAGGUUCUGUUGACCAGUUAGAGGAAAUUCUGUCCCAGUAUGAGGAGCUGAAAUCCACCCAGUAAGCCGUUGUUCUCAGAGUUAUUACUGGUGUUGCCACUGAGCUGCUGUAGAGUUCGGGGCUCAUAGUUUCCGCUUCUGUGUUCUGUCUCCUCCUCUGUGCCUCGCCUUUCGCCUCAGUGAGCUGGUAGACGCUGCGCGCAGAGCUUUAAUUUCCAGGGUGGAGGAACUGACCAAUGAGAGAGCAGCCCUGAGCCUGGAGGUGGGAUCUGCCCAGGAGACUGUUGCCCGAUUGGAGGGAAAACUGAAGGAGAUGGAGGAGGAAGUGAGGCGGUGAGCGAUCAGGAAGUACCUCCCACAAACCUUUCCCGAUCCUGUCACUGCAGCUUAUGAUCACUUACUUACCCAUGAUCACUCACUGGCCCUUCAUAAAGUUUAUUUUUGUAGGCUGUAGCGACACACUGAGACACUGGUUGGCAGGACAGCACUUGUUUAGCAUGUGGUGCAGUGACACAGCGUGCCCAGCAGGGGGCAGCAGGAUCUCAGGCUGCUGUAGUACCUCCGGAACACUAGAUGGCAGCAGAAUUCAUGACCAGUCUCCCCAUCUCCCGUACGAAAAGGCUUGUGAGGCGGAAGACUGAGGUGUUUCAAACUGUCGGUCUGUUGCACUACAGCCAGACAGUUCAAGGCCUUUGGGAAGUGGGGAUUGAGAGGCUGCCUUUCGCAGCUGUGCAGCCUCCAGAAGUGAUGUGUGUGAAUGAUACUAAUCGAGCUUCUCUCUCCGUCAACUUGUUUCCUAGGCUUCGUAAAGAGCUGGACGAGUGUCAGAGCGAGGACCCAGAGGCCUCCCUCCCACUCUCCCUGCGCCAGCGCUUCUCCCGCUCGGAGAUGGCCAGGGUGGUGAUGGAGAGGAACCAGUACAAGGAGAAACUGAUCGACCUGCAGGACGCCCUGAGGCGCACACAGCAGCUCCGGUGCGGUCUCUGUCUCCGGUCCUGCUCCGUCCCUGUCCCUCCUCUCUCCCUCCUCUCUCUCCCUCCUCUCUCUCCCUCCUCUCUCUCCUGAGUCUCUCUCCUGAGUCUCUCUCCUGAGUCUCUGCCCGAUGUCACUGUGCUUCACUGCUCUUGUGUGUCCGGAAGUCUGUCCCCCUGUCCACCUGACGGAUUGCUCUUGUCCUGCGUCU